Molecule: transfer RNA, 49 nt
Filed under: Eperua schomburgkiana
Lineage: Eukaryota; Viridiplantae; Streptophyta; Magnoliopsida; Fabales; Fabaceae
Also listed under: 1 other name
Description: partial tRNA-His
Source: RNAcentral
GGCGGAUGUAGCCAAGUGGAUCAAGGUAGUGGAUUGUGAAUCCACCAUG